UGUUUAAUAAUUUUAGGAUAACAAAGUUCAUAAAUUAAAAUCCUAAGUCUUAGCAUCAAUCUUGUAAAUGAUGUAAGACUUAAGGUUAGCAAAAAUUCUAAUGGACCCAAUGCCCAAUGACCAAAUCCUUUGAAGCCCAAACAAAACAAAAAGGCCUAGUAUUAUUCUCUCCCAAAAUCAGAAAAUAAAACAAAAAUUAAAAGAAAAGCAAUAACUCCAUCUCCUUCCUCCUCUAUACGUGGAAGGACAAGAAUGGAGAUUUCUAAACAAAAGUCAAAAACCAUCUCAGUAAACUUAAUUGAGUUUUCACUUUCUCAACCACCCUUAAUCCACUGGUUUUCUCAAAACCCCUGAAUUUAGCCACUUGUUUUCUUGAAUGGUUUUGGUAAUUUAAAAUUCUGAAAUUCAUCUACUGAGAUGGAGAUUUAUCUAUAAAUAGGGAAGAAUGAAUUGUGUUUUUGACAUCACAAAAUCAACAACAAUAAUUCAGAAAUUUACAUCAACUAAAACAAUUUGGAACAAAAGUUUUUCAAAUCUUUCAACUCCUCUGUUCUUCUGUUUCGGCCACCACUUCGACCACCACGGUACCACCACCCAUCAUCAAUCUGCCUUUCUGCCGCCGUCGAGCAGGCAUAGCCGCCGCCGACCAACCGCCCCAGUCCCCUAUCCCCUCUCGCGCACUCCGUCGUCGCCUUCGAACCCCUGCACGCCCAUUCUCUCUCCUCCUUUCUCCGCCCAUUAUUCGCUGCUACUGUGGCUAGGACACGCGCGUACUGCACCGAAGAUCGCCGCCGUGGGUCCGCGCUGCUCUUCGUCGACAACCGAGCCUCGCCGGAUUUCUGCCGGAGCUCCAUUCCUCCUGUUGCGACGCCGAGCCACGUUUCUCUCCUGCGUGUGUGUGUUUUCUUGGGGUAUGGUCAGACAGUUGAAAGAUCGUUGGUAAAACGGAUUUUUGCUAAUGAGUGUUAAAGAAUCUAGUAUGGCACUAAUAGUAAGGGUUCGUAAGCUCAAGCUAGAAGCACUGCAAGAGAGAGAGUUCAGGAUGGAUCUCGUGUAUCGAUGCUGUUGUCUGUAUUUUAUAUCUUAUGGGCUAAGAAGAUUAUAUUAUUAUUAUGGCUAAUAUUGGUGAGUUUUAAGAAUUAUAUUCUCUAAGACUAUUUAAGCCAA
This is a long non-coding RNA of Beta vulgaris subsp. vulgaris (sugar beet), 1167 nucleotides long. RefSeq lists it as uncharacterized. The transcript is spliced from 2 exons. The record is from RefSeq and is a predicted model, not a curated record. Lineage: Eukaryota; Viridiplantae; Streptophyta; Magnoliopsida; Caryophyllales; Amaranthaceae.